This 491-nucleotide ribosomal RNA is filed under the name uncultured bacterium. Its description in RNAcentral is "partial 16S ribosomal RNA". It matches the Rfam family "Bacterial small subunit ribosomal RNA", at positions 29 to 506 of the family's 1533-position model. The record is from RNAcentral.
AGUGAACGCUGGCGGUAGGCCUAACACAUGCAAGUCGAACGGCAGCACAGUAAGAGCUUGCUCUUACGGGUGGCGAGUGGCGGACGGGUGAGGAAUACAUCGGAAUCUACUUUUUCGUGGGGGAUAACGUGGGGAAACUUACGCUAAUACCGCAUACGACCUACGGGUGAAAGCAGGGGAUCUUCGGACCUUGCGCGAUUGAAUGAGCCGAUGUCGGAUUAGCUAGUUGGCGGGGUAAAGGCCCACCAAGGCGACGAUCCGUAGCUGGUCUGAGAGGAUGAUCAGCCACACUGGGACUGAGACACGGUCCAGACUCCUACGGGAGGCAGCAGUGGGGAAUAUUGGACAAUGGGCGCAAGCCUGAUCCAGCCAUACCGCGUGGGUGAAGAAGGCCUUCGGGUUGUAAAGCCCUUUUGUUGGGAAAGAAAAGCAGCAGGUUAAUACCCCGCUGUUCUGACGGUACCCAAAGAAUAAGCACCGGCUAACUGCGU